ACUCAAAUGAAUUGACGGGGGCCCGCACAAGCAGUGGAGCAUGUGGUUUAAUUCGAUGCAACGCGAAGAACCUUACCCAGGCUCGAAAUGUAACGGACGAUACCAGAGAUGGUAUUUCCCGCAAGGGCUGUUAUAUAGGUGCUGCAUGGCUGUCGUCAGCUCGUGCCGUGAGGUGUUUGGUUAAGUCCAGCAACGAGCGCAACCCUUAUCAUUAGUUGCCAACACGUAAGGUGGGGACUCUAGUGAGACUGCCUAGGUUAACUAGGAGGAAGGUGAGGAUGACGUCAAGUCCGCAUGGCCUUUAUGUCUGGGGCUACACACGUGCUACAAUGGUCGGUACAGAAGGCAGCAAGACCGCAAGGUGGAGCAAAUCCGUAAAGCCGAUCACAGUUCAGAUUGUAGUCUGCAACUCGACUACAUGAAGUUGGAAUUGCUAGUAAUGACGUGUCAGCAACAACGUCGUGAAUACGUUCCCGGGCCUUGCACACACCGCCCGU
Molecule: ribosomal RNA, 497 nt
Filed under: uncultured bacterium
Lineage: Bacteria
Description: partial 16S ribosomal RNA
Rfam family: Bacterial small subunit ribosomal RNA
Source: RNAcentral